CAUAGGGGAGCAUGCAAAUAUCAAAAAUGGAGAGUUUGUUCAACUUAUCGGUGUCAAUUUCCUUUUUGGUUCAUAUUUUCCAUUUGCAGUGUCUGGAUUAGUGUGCUUUGUUACGUGGCUUGACAGUAGAAUCCUACCCAUGGGGUAAAAUCUGUACUGGUAGCUAGCUGGGGACUACUAAAUGGUUACAAAUCAAAAACAAACCCAAAACAAACAGUACUACACGCUUGUCAAAAGGUUAAUAGCACAAGUUAGCAAUACCUAAACUAAACAUUGAAACAUUUUCAUGGGACACAGUGGUGCAAAUUUUUCCAUUGCUUGUUCUACCUGGUUGUGUAUUUCAGAGUUCGGAGCUGUGGGAAAGUGUGACCAAGGGUCAAUCUGGAACUCCUGAUCUCAGACAAUUCAGUACGUUAUCAGCCUUUCUAAAUGGAGAAGAACCAACACAGUGAGCUACCCCAGUGACAUGAAAAUCUUGUGUACAAGGACAUUGGAUGGUAAAGGGUACACAGUGAAUUCAUCUUAACAUUCACACUUGGUUUCCAUACAGUGGAGUCAAUUAAAAUAUCCUAGAAAAUAAUUCAGAUGGCAACUUGUAGCCAUCCACUGAUUUGCAAACCCUUUUGAAAUUUAAAUUUGAAAAAAAUUCCCAGUCCACUGAGUCGACUUGGAAAUACUUUCAUCCACUUAUUUCUCAUAAGACUUUACUAAGCGUCUACCAAUUAGUGUCAUAAAAAUGAAUAAAAAAGGCUAAAACAUUUGGCUUAAAAUAAAUACUAAAAAUGCAAUAAAUCAAGCAAAUUAUGCAAACCAAAGGAAUGUAAACACAAAAAUAAAACCACAGUCUUUAAAGGUCUUCAGAUCUGAAUGGACAAAACAUUCAGAGAAAGGUAUUUAAUUGGUUUAAAAGGUAGCAGAGAGCAAACAUUGGCAACGUUCUUUUAACUUGAUAUAGCUUUAAUGGUGAUUUUUUUUCACUGAAAAGAAAACAUGUUUCUAAGGGGGUUGAACAGAGAUGAGCAUAAAAACUGCAUGUCAGAAAAGAUAGUUUGUCUGCUCCAACUCCAAGGGCAGGACUACCUGUCCUGGGGUAGAGGGCAGGCAGAAGUGCCACAUGGGUGCUGGCGGACAGCAUGGGAUGCUUCUGCCAGCUGUAUUUAGGCCUUCUUCAGGCUACUGUGGAAAUCCUGACUAAGCUUCAAUUUGUUCUCUACCUUACAGAGACCCCACUGAUGUUUUGCUUUGCUUGCUUAAGAUGUAUUGAUUUGAAUUGCCCAAAACAUUUAUUUUCCUUUUACAAACCCUGUAACUC
Physeter macrocephalus (sperm whale) is the source of this 1312-nucleotide long non-coding RNA. RefSeq lists it as uncharacterized. The record is from RefSeq and is a predicted model, not a curated record. The transcript is spliced from 2 exons. NCBI's taxonomy places the organism in Eukaryota, Metazoa, Chordata, Mammalia, Artiodactyla, Physeteridae.